This is a long non-coding RNA of Felis catus (domestic cat), 1319 nucleotides long. RefSeq lists it as uncharacterized. The transcript has 4 exons. NCBI's taxonomy places the organism in Eukaryota, Metazoa, Chordata, Mammalia, Carnivora, Felidae. The record is from RefSeq and is a predicted model, not a curated record.
UUCUCCCAGUGUUUUCCCUGUUCCAAUACUCUAGAACCUUUUCUCAAUCACCAGUUGGCCUUUUGAUAUUUCUGCUCUGCUGUCAUAGCACCUGGUGUCUAAAUACUUAGAGUGUGGUUUAUGGAGUAUAACAGCCUGAAUGGAAAACGUCUGGCUUUCAGCAAGUCUUAAAACUAUGAGAUAGAAGUUUAUUGGAUACCCUGCAAGGAAGCAGUGGCGAAGACACCAGAGGAGAGGCUGUCUGCCUUAUUGAGACCAUUCAUAUUCCAUAACGAUAAAGAUGAAAAGUACAAUCUGAAAAAGGAUAGCAUAUCUACAGUGAUAUAUGCCUUUGUCGUUUUAACAAUAUGCCAGGAAGAGAACCUAAAGAAUCUUCUGAUAGAGAUACCUUCAAAGAAAAAGGACACUUUCAAGGAUAAAGAGAGGGACUUUCAAAGGAACUGGCUCAUUAGAUUAUGGAAGCUGAGAAAUUCAAGAUGUACAGGUGACAAACUGAAGACCCAGUAAAGCCAAUGGUAUUGUUACAGUGAAAGUCUGAGUUUGAAGGCAGAAGACAAAUGUUUCAGCUGGAAGAGAGACAGAGAGAAAGAAUUCUUUCUUACACUUUUAUUCCAUUCAGACCUUCAACAGAUUGGAUGAGGCCCACCCACAAUGGGGAGAACUAUCUGCUUUACAUAUGCAAAUUACUUAUACAGAUGGUAAUUACAUAUUCAAAUGGUAACCAUUCAAAUGUUAAUUCAAAUCAUUUAUUCAAAUGUUAAUCUCAUCCAGAAACACACUCACAGUCACACUGAUAGAUAAUGUUUAACCAAAUAUCUGGGUACUCCAUGACCCCAGUGAAGAUGACACAUACAAUUACCAUCACAGCUAUAUUAACAUUAGACUCAUAUAAGCUGAAACACUUUUCUUGUUCUCAUUUUUAGCUUUUAACUGUAGCUACAUUGUCUUUUACCCAAAAAUAAUUAAAUUUUUUUAAUCUAAUAAAAUAUUUCAAUAAUUACUUUAUGACUUUUUUGCUUCCCUUGCUUAAUAAUUUCAUAAAAUUUAACUUUGACUUCAGAUUAGGUCUGCAUAUUCUAUCAAUCCAUUUACAUGCUAAUAAACUGGAGUUAUAAUUUGGAAUUCAUCAAACUGCAUGAACUUUUUUUUUUCCCCUCAUUCCUCAAUCCCUUUAUUUUCUUUUCAUUUUCUUCCUCCAGGCCUAUUAAGGUAAACAUGGAUAUUGUUCAACUCUUUGAACAAUACUUAAAGCUAACCUGGGAUUUAGAUGCAUAAAUUGGGUAUUCAAAAACUAGAGGGCUUUACUCUUACAAAUAAAA